RNAcentral lists this ribosomal RNA (166 nucleotides) under Callerya cinerea. RNAcentral describes it as "5.8S ribosomal RNA". It matches the Rfam family "5.8S ribosomal RNA". From Rfam's summary of the family: 5.8S ribosomal RNA (5.8S rRNA) is a component of the large subunit of the eukaryotic ribosome. It is transcribed by RNA polymerase I as part of the 45S precursor that also contains 18S and 28S rRNA. Functionally, it is thought that 5.8S rRNA may be involved in ribosome translocation. Lineage: Eukaryota; Viridiplantae; Streptophyta; Magnoliopsida; Fabales; Fabaceae. The record is from RNAcentral. RNAcentral also lists the same sequence under 1 other name.
UGCAGAAUGACUCUCGGCAACGGAUAUCUAGGCUCUUGCAUCGAUGAAGAACGUAGCGAAAUGCGAUACUUGGUGUGAAUUGCAGAAUCCCGUGAACCAUCGAGUCUUUGAACGCAAGUUGCGCCCGAAGCCAUUAGGUUGAGGGCACGUCUGCCUGGGUGUCACA